ACCAUGGUACCAUCCUCGACAAAUAUCAUGGGACAUCACAACCGUGCAUAAGGUGGGCCAGACCAUGAAGCCGGACGGUGAUAAAAAUCAGGAAAGUUCACUCAUCAGGUGGACCGCGUGCCUACAUCCAAGGUUAACCGUUGGAAAUUAUAAUAAUAAUAAUAAUAAAACCUUCAAAACGAGUGAACGAGCCUGGUUUUAGGGCGCAGUGGGAUAACAACAUAUACGGCUAGGAUGUCCCACACCGUCCAGUAGUUUAACACGUGUGACGCAUCAUAUGUGCGUGGUGCUAGUAUGGAAGAUCCAGACCGUUGGUUAGAUAAGCCAUGCAUGUAGGGGUGGCUAGUAAAUCUCCUAGAUUAAAAAUUAAA
Long non-coding RNA from Magnolia sinica, 371 nucleotides. RefSeq lists it as uncharacterized. NCBI's taxonomy places the organism in Eukaryota, Viridiplantae, Streptophyta, Magnoliopsida, Magnoliales, Magnoliaceae. The transcript has 2 exons. The record is from RefSeq and is a predicted model, not a curated record.